Long non-coding RNA from Paramormyrops kingsleyae, 2005 nucleotides. RefSeq lists it as uncharacterized. Lineage: Eukaryota; Metazoa; Chordata; Actinopteri; Osteoglossiformes; Mormyridae. The record is from RefSeq and is a predicted model, not a curated record.
UGGCAUUUUCAAGUAUUAACGAACACAAUUCAUCGAAUCUUCCAUGUAGAAUACUUUAAAUUCUGUUGCGGGCUGCAAACGACAAGUUGUUGAAAGACUACAAGGACAAUUUAGUUGCACCGCUAAAAAAAAGGCCUCAAGCGAAGAGCAUGGUCGACUGGCACCUCACCAAGCGUCCAAGAAAGACGCCAGUGAGGGAAUGGUACAGGUCCGUUCCGCGCCAAGUACAGAAUUAAUAAUAUGCCGUGGUAGAACAUUAAACAGGUGAAAUCGUAGAAAUUCUCUUCAAGCUUUAAAAAGCACUUUUUCAGUUGGAUAUACACGGUGUCAUUUGAUAGUAUGGUUUUGCACGGAUACAAUGAACACAGAAUAUAACUAGGAAUACGUUCUUUCGGCGGAAGGAAAUCAAUAAACUUUCUGAUGCAACUACUCUGUAACCACGACAAAAGGCUGCUUCACCUCCCUUUAACAUUACACAGUGUCAAUCAUUUAAGUCGAAUCCACAGAAACGGCCAUCCUACUCUAUAUUACGUAGUGAGAUAAGGAACACCCUCGUACUUAUAGAAUUACGGUGUCUUGUCUGUGCGUAAAAGGGUUUCCUCAACCUACCUAACAUUUCGUCGCUAAAAUAAACUCACACACUUGCUCUAUACGCUGAUCUCGUAGCUAAUUGCGGCGCUCGGUGAGGACGCGGUUGACACUUCGCGUUUCCUUCUAAAUCCAUAAGCGCAUCUCUUCCCCAGUCUCUUCCCUGUAGCGUGUGCCCUACGCCUCCGAGUUGAAGUGUCGCCGUGUGAAUAGAUGGUGGACAUUCCAGGACACGUGAUCUAAUCCGAUCCGGCGAUUUUAGCAGGGUGGAGGGUUUAGUUUUUGUGUACAUAAGGUUGUGUGCGCGGAUUUUUUGUCGAAGUACCGCCGCUCCGCCUCUUUUCGCAACAUUGACGCAAUGUAUAAAUACUGGAACAAAAGGACAACUUCCUUGAAGCUUGGUGAAACUGCAUUUUAAAACAAGCACUAGUCUUUAUUUCCGAACAGAUGGAAAUGUCGUAUUGGAAUAUAAAUUUUGCCAUUAAAAGCAACGCGUCGACUUGCACAUUUGGACGGAAAUCCAGCUUUCAGCGGCGCUCAAAUGUCGUCAAACCCUGGCCUCUGGUGUGCGUAUGUGUGUGACAGAGCGAGAGAGAGAGAGAGCAAGUGAGCGAGCACGCGCGUGCCUGUGGGGGGGGGAGCAAGAGAAAGACUAAGAGGAGACGACGAAAGGGAGAGCGGGAGAGAAGAGGGAAGUGCACGGGCCAGGCCUGGCGGUGCUGUAGCAGCACAGAAUGGUUUGUGGGUCAUACGGGGAUGCAGGCCAUGCUGUGCUGCAGCAACAACACCAGGCAGACAGGCCCUGGCAAGCAGGUUGCGGGAAAUAAGACUGCAAGCUGACAAGCAGCACAUAAGUGGACCAGGCCCAGGAGAGAGAGGCUGGGGAUGUCGUCGUCCCCGUCCCCGUCCCCCCGCCACCAGCACCCCACACACAUACACACUGGCCGCCUCGCUCUAGCAGCACGUAAAUAUUGGAGUUAAACCACUUCUGAUGCCUCCAGUAUUGAUCGUGCUGCUGAAGUGAAGCCGGCCGAUCCAUCAGCUGCUGUCUCAACGUUGUCACUGUCGUCUCCGCUGGGGGCUGCUGGGCUGAGAUCAGGAGUCUUACACGUUACGGGGAUCAGCAGAACGGGGGUGAGGUGAUGGCAAGAAAGUGCUGCUGUCGGUUUGCUUAAGGUAAAUACAUUUCUGUUGCUGUCAUUUGAUUGUAGUUUCUGCAUGGAGUAGUAAAAUUAACACUCGCUGAUAUUUGCUUUUCUCCACAAAAGUUUCACAAUUCAGUAAUUUAAGCUUGCUUUUAAACUGUUAAAUCUCUACUGGGCUAUAUAUGCUUUAUACUUGUUUAAUGUAACCUGUAAUUAAAUGUCCAUUAUUGUACUGAUCUGUGCUUUGUCAUAAUAAACAAUUUAUUCACAAA